GACGAACGCUGGCGGCGUGCUUAACACAUGCAAGUCGAACGGAAAGGCCCUGCUUUUGUGGGGUGCUCGAGUGGCGAACGGGUGAGUAACACGUGAGUAACCUGCCCUUGACUUUGGGAUAACUUCAGGAAACUGGGGCUAAUACCGGAUAGGAUCUCCUGCUGCAUGGUGGGGGUUGGAAAGUUUCGGCGGUUGGGGAUGGACUCGCGGCUUAUCAGCUUGUUGGUGGGGUAGUGGCUUACCAAGGCUUUGACGGGUAGCCGGGCUGAGAGGGUGACCGGAUCCAUUGGGACUGAGCUACGGCCCAGCCUACUACGGGAGGCAGCAGUGGAGAAGAGAGCACAGCGGGAGGAAGCCUGAUGUGGCAACGCCGCGUGCGGUAUGUCGGGCUUCGCGUUGUAAACCGCUUUCGUCUGUCACGAGGCGUGAGUGACGGUAAUGGGUAAAGAAGCACCGGCUAACUACGUG
This 468-nucleotide ribosomal RNA is filed under the name uncultured bacterium. Its description in RNAcentral is "partial 16S ribosomal RNA". It matches the Rfam family "Bacterial small subunit ribosomal RNA", at positions 28 to 507 of the family's 1533-position model. The record is from RNAcentral.